Molecule: ribosomal RNA, 398 nt
Filed under: uncultured bacterium
Lineage: Bacteria
Description: bacterial SSU rRNA
Rfam family: Bacterial small subunit ribosomal RNA
Source: RNAcentral
UAAUACGUAGGGUGCGAGCGUUGUCCGGAAUUACUGGGCGUAAAGAGCUCGUAGGCGGUUUGUCGCGUCGUCUGUGAAAUUCUGCAGCUUAACUGUAGGCGUGCAGGCGAUACGGGCAGACUUGAGUACUACAGGGGAGACUGGAAUUCCUGGUGUAGCGGUGAAAUGCGCAGAUAUCAGGAGGAACACCGGUGGCGAAGGCGGGUCUCUGGGUAGUUACUGACGCUGAGGAGCGAAAGCGUGGGGAGCAAACAGGAUUAGAUACCCUGGUAGUCCACGCCGUAAACGGUGGGUACUAGGUGUGGGUUCCAUUUCACGGGAUCCGUGCCGUAGCUAACGCAUUAAGUACCCCGCCUGGGGAGUACGGCCGCAAGGCUAAAACUUAAAUGAAUUGACGG